This 433-nucleotide ribosomal RNA is filed under the name uncultured bacterium. RNAcentral's name for it is "bacterial SSU rRNA". It matches the Rfam family "Bacterial small subunit ribosomal RNA", at positions 958 to 1393 of the family's 1533-position model. The record is from RNAcentral.
AACGCGAAGAACCUUACCAGGUCUUGACAUCCCUCUGAUCGCUUUAGAGAUAGAGCUUCCCUUCGGGGCAGAGGAGACAGGUGGUGCAUGGUUGUCGUCAGCUCGUGUCGUGAGAUGUUGGGUUAAGUCCCGCAACGAGCGCAACCCUUGACAUUAGUUGCCAGCAGUAAGAUGGGGACUCUAAUGUGACUGCCGGUGACAAACCGGAGGAAGGUGGGGAUGACGUCAAAUCAUCAUGCCCCUUAUGACCUGGGCUACACACGUGCUACAAUGGACGGAACAAAGGGAAGCGAGUCCGUGAGGAGGAGCAAACCCCAAAAAACCGUUCUCAGUUCGGAUUGUAGGCUGCAACUCGCCUACAUGAAGCUGGAAUCGCUAGUAAUCGCGGAUCAGCAUGCCGCGGUGAAUACGUUCCCGGGUCUUGUACACACGC